Molecule: ribosomal RNA, 449 nt
Filed under: uncultured bacterium
Lineage: Bacteria
Description: partial 16S ribosomal RNA
Rfam family: Bacterial small subunit ribosomal RNA
Source: RNAcentral
AACGAACGCUGGCGGCAGGCCUAACACAUGCAAGUCGAACGGGACCUUCGGGCCUAGUGGCGGACGGGUGAGUAACGCGUGGGAACGUGCCCUUUGGUUCGGAAUAGCCCCGGGAAACUGAGAGUAAUACCGGAUAAGCCCUACGGGGGAAAGAUUUAUCGCCAAAGGAUCGGCCCGCGUUGGAUUAGGUAGUUGGUGGGGUAAUGGCCUACCAAGCCGACGAUCCAUAGCUGGUUUGAGAGGAUGAUCAGCCACACUGGGACUGAGACACGGCCCAGACUCCUACGGGAGGCAGCAGUGGGGAAUCUUAGACAAUGGGGGAAACCCUGAUCUAGCCAUGCCGCGUGAUCGAUGAAGGCCUUAGGGUUGUAAAGAUCUUUCAGUGGGGAAGAUAAUGACUGUACCCACAGAAGAAGCCCCGGCUAACUCCGUGCCAGCCGCCGCCGUAA